RNAcentral lists this ribosomal RNA (465 nucleotides) under uncultured bacterium. RNAcentral's name for it is "partial 16S ribosomal RNA". It matches the Rfam family "Bacterial small subunit ribosomal RNA", at positions 28 to 507 of the family's 1533-position model. The record is from RNAcentral.
GACGAACGCUGGCGGCGUGCUUAACACAUGCAAGUCGUACGGUAAGGCCCUUUCGGGGGUCCACGAGUGGCGAACGGGUGAGUAACACGUGAGUAACCUGCCCACAACUUUGGGAUAACGCUAGGAAACUGGUGCUAAUACUGGAUAUGUGCCCCUGCUGCAUGGUGGGGGUUGGAAAGCUCCGGCGGUUGUGGAUGGACUCGCGGCCUAUCAGCUUGUUGGUGGGGUAGUGGCCUACCAAGGAGGCGACGGGUAGCCGGCCUGAGAGGGUGACCGGCCACAUUGGGACUGAGAUACGGCCCAGACUCCUACGGGAGGCAGCAGUGGGGAAUAUUGCACAAUGGGCGCAAGCCUGAUGCAGCAACGCCGCGUGCGGGAUGACGGCCUUCGGGUUGUAAACCGCUUUCAGCAGGGACGAAGCUUUUUGUGACGGUACCUGCAGAAGAAGCACCGGCUAACUACGUG